UUUGGCAAUGAUGACCCACUUGCCCUCACUGAGAACAGAGUUUGAUAAUGAGAAUCUUUAUUUAUUUAUUUUUUUUAAA
Marmota flaviventris (yellow-bellied marmot) is the source of this 79-nucleotide small nucleolar RNA. RefSeq annotates it as small nucleolar RNA SNORD103/SNORD85. The record is from RefSeq and is a predicted model, not a curated record. Lineage: Eukaryota; Metazoa; Chordata; Mammalia; Rodentia; Sciuridae.